Molecule: unclassified non-coding RNA, 375 nt
Filed under: uncultured fungus
Lineage: Eukaryota; Fungi
Description: partial contains 5.8S ribosomal RNA and internal transcribed spacer 2
Rfam family: 5.8S ribosomal RNA (bases 1-133)
Source: RNAcentral
UGGCUCUUGCAUCGAUGAAGAACGCAGCAAAAUGCGAUAAGUAAUGUGAAUUGCAGAAUUCAGUGAAUCAUCGAAUUUUUGAACGCACCUUGCGCCUUUUGGUAUUCCGAAAGGCACACCUGUUUGAGUGUCAUGAAUUUCUCAACCCUGAUCUUUUUUGAAAAGUGUUAGUGGAUUGGAUCUUGAGUAUUGCUGUGUUUAAUUUGCAGCUUACUUUAAAACCAUUAGCCAAUUCUUAGUAUAACGGAUUGACUCGAUGUGAUAAUAUUUUCAUUGAGGAUGCUAAAUUGCAGCCGAAAUAUUCAAGGAUGACUUCUAACUUGCCUUCUGUGCACUAUGACUUUAGACCUCAAAUCAGGUGGGAUUACCCGCUGA